GAUGAACGCUGGCGGCGUGCCUAAUACAUGCAAGUCGAGCGAACGGACGAGAAGCUUGCUUCUCUGAUGUUAGCGGCGGACGGGUGAGUAACACGUGGAUAACCUACCUAUAAGACUGGGAUAACUUCGGGAAACCGGAGCUAAUACCGGAUAAUAUUUUGAACCGCAUGGUUCAAAAGUGAAAGACGGUCUUGCUGUCACUUAUAGAUGGAUCCGCGCUGCAUUAGCUAGUUGGUAAGGUAACGGCUUACCAAGGCAACGAUGCAUAGCCGACCUGAGAGGGUGAUCGGCCACACUGGAACUGAGACACGGUCCAGACUCCUACGGGAGGCAGCAGUAGGGAAUCUUCCGCAAUGGGCGAAAGCCUGACGGAGCAAUGCCGCGUGAGUGAUGAAGGUCUUCGGAUCGUAAAACUCUGUUAUUAGGGAAGAACAUAUGUGGAAGGAACUGUGCACAUCUUGACGGUACCUAAUCAGAAAGCAACGGCUAACUACGUG
This 497-nucleotide ribosomal RNA is filed under the name uncultured bacterium. Its description in RNAcentral is "partial 16S ribosomal RNA". It matches the Rfam family "Bacterial small subunit ribosomal RNA", at positions 28 to 507 of the family's 1533-position model. The record is from RNAcentral.